CUUGCACUGAAUUGACGUUGGAUUACCAGUGAGCGGCGGACGGGUGAGUAACACGUGGGCAACCUGCCCUGAAGUGGGGGAUAACAUCUGGAAACAGGUGCUAAUACCGCAUAACAACGAAAACCACAUGGUUUUCGUUUCAAAGAUGGUUUCGGCUAUCGCUUCAGGAUGGGCCCGCGGUGCAUUAGCUAGUUGGUAAGGUAACGGCUUACCAAGGCAAUGAUGCAUAGCCGAGUUGAGAGACUGAUCGGCCACAAUGGAACUGAGACACGGUCCAUACUCCUACGGGAGGCAGCAGUAGGGAAUCUUCCACAAUGGGCGUAAGCCUGAUGGAGCAACACCGCGUGAGUGAAGAAGGGUUUCGGCUCGUAAAGCUCUGUUGUUGGAGAAGAACGUGCGUGAGAGUAACUGUUCACGCAGUGACGGUAUCCAACCAGAAAGUCACGGCUAACUACGUGCCAGCAGCCGCGGUAAUACGUAGGUGGCAAGCGUUAUCCGGAUUUAUUGGGCGUAAAGCGAGCGCAGGCGGUUGCUUAGGUCUGAUGUGAAAGCCUUCGGCUUAACCGAAGAAGGGCAUCGGAAACCGGGCGACUUGAGUGCAGAAGAGGACAGUGGUACUCCAUGUGUAGCGGUGGAAUGCGUAGAUAUAUGGAAGAACACCAGUGGCGAAGGCGGCUGUCUGGUCUGCAACUGACGCUGAGGCUCGAAAGCAUGGGUAGCGAACAGGAUUAGAUACCCUGGUAGUCCAUGCCCGUAAAACGAUGAGUGCUAGGUGUUGGA
Molecule: ribosomal RNA, 780 nt
Filed under: uncultured bacterium
Lineage: Bacteria
Description: bacterial SSU rRNA
Rfam family: Bacterial small subunit ribosomal RNA
Source: RNAcentral